AAUGAACGUUGGCGGCGUGGAUUAGGCAUGCAAGUCGCGCGACAAGGAACCUUCGGGUUCUGGAGGAGCGGCAAACGGGGUAGUAAGGCAUCGGAACGUACCCUCUUGUUGGGAAUAGCCGCGGGAAACUGCGAGUAAUGCCCAAUAAUCCCUACGGGGCAAAGGUCCGCCGCAGGAGGAGCGGCCGAUGUGAUACCAGCUAGUUGGUGAGGUAAUGGCUCACCAAGGCUUAGACGUCUAGGGGGUGUGAGAGCAUGGCCCCCACCACUGGACGUGAGAUACUGCCCACGANACCUACGGGUGGGCUGCA
RNAcentral lists this ribosomal RNA (310 nucleotides) under uncultured bacterium. Its description in RNAcentral is "bacterial SSU rRNA". It matches the Rfam family "Bacterial small subunit ribosomal RNA", at positions 29 to 353 of the family's 1533-position model. The record is from RNAcentral.